This 257-nucleotide ribosomal RNA is filed under the name uncultured bacterium. Its description in RNAcentral is "partial 16S ribosomal RNA". It matches the Rfam family "Bacterial small subunit ribosomal RNA", at positions 524 to 776 of the family's 1533-position model. The record is from RNAcentral.
UACGUAGGGUGCAAGCGUUGUCCGGAAUUAUUGGGCGUAAAGAGCUCGUAGGCGGUUUGUCGCGUCUGCUGUGAAAACUCAGGGCUUAACCCUGAGCUGCAGCAGGGUACGGCAGGGAUCAUGAGAGUUCGGUAGGGAGUCUGGAAUUCCUGGUGUAGCGGUGAAAUGCGCAGAUAUCAGGAGGAACACGGUGGCGAAGGCGGGUCUCCUGGGCCGUAAGCUGACGCUGAGGAGCGAAAGCGUGGGGAUCAAACAGG